GCUACUUGCUGACGAGCGGCGGACGGGUGAGUAAUGCUUGGGAACAUGCCUUGAGGUGGGGGACAACAGUUGGAAACGACUGCUAAUACCGCAUAAUGUCUACGGACCAAAGGGGGCUUCGGCUCUCGCCUUUAGAUUGGCCCAAGUGGGAUUAGCUAGUUGGUGAGGUAAUGGCUCACCAAGGCGACGAUCCCUAGCUGGUUUGAGAGGAUGAUCAGCCACACUGGGACUGAGACACGGCCCAGACUCCUACGGGAGGCAGCAGUGGGGAAUAUUGCACAAUGGGCGCAAGCCUGAUGCAGCCAUGCCGCGUGUGUGAAGAAGGCCUUCGGGUUGUAAAGCACUUUCAGUCAGGAGGAAAGGUUAGUAGUUAAUACCUGCUAGCUGUGACGUUACUGACAGAAGAAGCACCGGCUAACUCCGUGCCAGCAGCCGCGGUAAUACGGAGGGUGCGAGCGUUAAUCGGAAUUACUGGGCGUAAAGCGUACGCAGGCGGUUUGUUAAGCGAGAUGUGAAAGCCCCGGGCUCAACCUGGGAAUUGCAUUUCGAACUGGCAAACUAGAGUGUGAUAGAGGGUGGUAGAAUUUCAGGUGUAGCGGUGAAAUGCGUAGAGAUCUGAAGGAAUACCGAUGGCGAAGGCAGCCACCUGGGUCAACACUGACGCUCAUGUACGAAAGCGUGGGGAGCAAACGGGAUUAGAUACCCCGGUAGUCCACGCCGUAAACGAUGUCUACUAGAAGCUCGGAGCCUCGGUUCUGUUUUU
RNAcentral lists this ribosomal RNA (763 nucleotides) under bacterium. RNAcentral describes it as "bacterial SSU rRNA". It matches the Rfam family "Bacterial small subunit ribosomal RNA", at positions 79 to 846 of the family's 1533-position model. The record is from RNAcentral.